GAUGAACGCUGGCGGCGUGCCUAAUACAUGCAAGUCGAGCGAACAGACGAGGAGCUUGCUCCUCUGACGUUAGCGGCGGACGGGUGAGUAACACGUGGAUAACCUACCUAUAAGACUGGGAUAACUUCGGGAAACCGGAGCUAAUACCGGAUAAUAUAUUGAACCGCAUGGUUCAAUAGUGAAAGACGGUUUUGCUGUCACUUAUAGAUGGAUCCGCGCCGCAUUAGCUAGUUGGUAAGGUAACGGGUUACCAAGGCGACGAUGCGUAGCCGACCUGAGAGGGUGAUCGGCCACACUGGAACUGAGACACGGUCCAGACUCCUACGGGAGGCAGCAGUAGGGAAUCUUCCGCAAUGGGCGAAAGCAUGACGGAGCAACGCCGCGUGAGUGAUGAAGGUCUUCGGAUCGUAAAACUCUGUUAUUAGGGAAGAACAAAUGUGUAAGUAACUAUGCACGUCUUGACGGUACCUAAUCAGAAAGCCACGGCUAACUACGUG
RNAcentral lists this ribosomal RNA (497 nucleotides) under uncultured bacterium. RNAcentral describes it as "partial 16S ribosomal RNA". It matches the Rfam family "Bacterial small subunit ribosomal RNA", at positions 28 to 507 of the family's 1533-position model. The record is from RNAcentral.